This 488-nucleotide ribosomal RNA is filed under the name uncultured bacterium. Its description in RNAcentral is "bacterial SSU rRNA". It matches the Rfam family "Bacterial small subunit ribosomal RNA", at positions 28 to 511 of the family's 1533-position model. The record is from RNAcentral.
GAUGAACGCUAGCGGCAGGCUUAAUACAUGCAAGUCGUGGGGCAGCACAAAUAGCAAUAUUGGGUGGCGACCGGCAAACGGGUGCGGAACACGUACGCAACCUUCCUUCGAGCGGGGAAUAGCCCAGAGAAAUUUGGAUUAAUACCCUAUAAUAUUUUGAGAUGGCAUCAUCUUAUUAUUAAAGCUCCGGCACUUGAAGAUGGGCGUGCGCCUGAUUAGGUAGUGGCGGGGUAAUGGCCCACCAAGCCUUCGAUCAGUAACUGGUGUGAGAGCAUGACCAGUCACACGGGCACUGAGACACGGGCCCGACUCCUACGGGAGGCAGCAGUAAGGAAUAUUGGGCAAUGGACGCAAGUCUGACCCAGCCAUGCCGCGUGGAGGAUGAAGGUCCUCUGGAUUGUAAACUUCUUUUAUCGUGGGAACGAAAAAGGGAUUUCUUUCCCGACUGACGGUACCAGGUGAAUAAGCACCGGCUAACUCCGUGCCAG